RNAcentral lists this long non-coding RNA (230 nucleotides) under Setaria viridis. RNAcentral describes it as "long non-coding RNA (SVIR_LNC001273)". Lineage: Eukaryota; Viridiplantae; Streptophyta; Magnoliopsida; Poales; Poaceae. The record is from RNAcentral.
GCAUUAGGAAAAUACCUUGCAGUGCUACCGGGACUGGCGGCGGAGCCGGUGCGAAUCGAAGGUAUCUAGUAUCAUUAGCAGGCACUAAGCUUUGGUUCCAUGGCUCCUUCUCGGGUCAUGCUUUCAUUCUUCCCUCAACCCGUUUGGACUUGUUCGCACGUGUGGGCGCGUCACUUGUGUUCCAUGCUUGCGUUGACCGCACCGCUCGCUGUCGAAAAGGAAACCAAAGU